GGCGAAACAACAGGAGAGAGGACAGGCGAGAUAUAUAGAGAAGACCAGGGAGAGACAUGUUGAAGGAGAAGGACUAUCAAGUAGCAGUAAGCAAGAUGAAAAAGAAGAGAACAGACAGAACGACAGAGUUCUAUUACAUGUCAGAUCCUUUUUGGACGUCUCCUCUCUUACGAUUCAUCAGUUGAUACAAAGGAUGUAGAUAUGUUCCUUGUACGACCAGAGUGAAAAAGAAUUGUGGGAAAAAAGAGUUAGCUUACGAUGAGAUUUCAAUGAGAGAGAUUGAGCAGAUUCAGCGUCGAGCGGGCCAAUCAACUCUUUAUAAUUCGGAGCAGAUUCAGCAAAUCAUACUCUUUUAGACAGAUCUGGUUUUGGGUGGAACUCUGAAACGAAAAGAAAAACAGAGCAGAUGAUGAAGUAUUGAAUGUGUAUCUAUAUGUGAAUGUGAAACUGAAGAGAUAAAGACGAUAACAAAACACUGCAACUGGACAGAAUGCAGUGGGACUGAGUGAUUCUAAGAGGCCUAUCAAUUUGAAGAAAGCGAGAAGACAAAUGAUAAUGACUUUGUCGGUGUGAUAGAUGAUGCAGAAGGAAUAAUAUACGAGCAACCAUUUGAAUAU
Molecule: long non-coding RNA, 617 nt
Organism: Raphanus sativus (radish)
Lineage: Eukaryota; Viridiplantae; Streptophyta; Magnoliopsida; Brassicales; Brassicaceae
Exons: 4
Source: RefSeq, a predicted model, not a curated record